Molecule: ribosomal RNA, 253 nt
Filed under: uncultured bacterium
Lineage: Bacteria
Description: partial 16S ribosomal RNA
Rfam family: Bacterial small subunit ribosomal RNA
Source: RNAcentral
UACGAAGGGGGCUAGCGUUGUCCGGAAUCAUUGGGCGUAAAGCGCGCGUAGGCGGCCCGGUAAGUCCGCUGUAAAAGUCAGGGGCUCAACCCUUGAACGCCGGUGGAUACUGCCGGGCUAGAGUCCGGAAGAGGCGAGUGGAAUUCCCGGUGUAGCGGUGAAAUGCGCAGAUAUCGGGAGGAACACCAAUGGCGAAGGCAGCUCGCUGGGACGUUACUGACGCUGAGACGCGAAAGCGUGGGGAGCAAACAGG